RNAcentral lists this ribosomal RNA (443 nucleotides) under uncultured bacterium. Its description in RNAcentral is "partial 16S ribosomal RNA". It matches the Rfam family "Bacterial small subunit ribosomal RNA", at positions 338 to 795 of the family's 1533-position model. The record is from RNAcentral.
CCUACGGGAGGCAGCAGUGGGGAAUAUUGGGCAAUGGGCGCAAGCCUGACCCAGCAAAGCCGCGUGAAGGAAGAAGGCUUUCGGGUUGUAAACUUCUUUUCUCAGGGACGAAGCAUGUGACGGUACCUGAGGAAUAAGCCACGGCUAACUACGUGCCAGCAGCCGCGGCAAUACGUAGGUGGCAAGCGUUAUCCGGAUUUACUGGGUGUAAAGGGCGUGUAGGCGGGGACGCAAGGCAGAUGUGAAAACCACGGGCUCAACCUGUGGCCUGCAUUUGAAACUGUGUUUCUUGAGUACUGGAGAGGCAGCCGGAAUUCCUAGUGUAGCGGUGAAAUGCGUAGAUAUUAGGAGGAACACCAGUGGCGAAGGCGGUCUGCUGGACAGCAACUGACGCUGAGGCGCGAAAGCGUGGGGAGCAAACAGGAUUAGAUACCCGGGUAGUC